Molecule: ribosomal RNA, 460 nt
Filed under: uncultured bacterium
Lineage: Bacteria
Description: partial 16S ribosomal RNA
Rfam family: Bacterial small subunit ribosomal RNA
Source: RNAcentral
CCUACGGGCGGCAGCAGUGAGGAAUAUUGGUCAAUGGUCGAGAUACUGAACCAGCCAAGCCGCGUGAGGGAGGAAGGUACAAAGUAUCGUAAACCUCUUUUGUCAGAGAACAAAGGCGGGGACGUGUCCACGGAUGAGUGUACCUGAAGAAAAAGCAUCGGCUAACUCCGUGCCAGCAGCCGCGGUAAUACGGAGGAUGCAAGCGUUAUCCGGAUUUAUUGGGUGUAAAGGGUGCGCAGGCGGUCUGUUAAGUCAGGUGUCAAAUGCCGGGGCUCAACCCCGGUCCGGCACUGGAAAUGGGCAAACGAGAAGGCGGUAGAGGUAAAGGGAAGUCCUGGGGUAGCGGGGAAAUGCUUAGAGAGCAGGAGGAACAUCGGUGGCGUAAGCGCUUUACUGGGCCGUAAUUGACGCUGAGGAACGAAAGCCAGGGUAGCAAAUGGGAUUAGAUACCCGAGUAGUC